CGCGGUAAUACUGGCAGAGCGAGUGGUAUCCACGAAUAUUGGGUCUAAAGAGUCCGUAGCUGGUCUGUUAAGUUCACUGUGAAAUCCGGCGGCUCAACCGCCGGGCGUGCAGUAAAUACUGGCAGGCUUGGGAGCGGGGGAGGUCAGGAGUACUUGCGGGGUAAGAGUAAAAUCUGUUGAUCCUGCAAGGACUACCAGUGGCGAAGGCGCCUGACCAAAACGCGUCCGACAGUGAGGGACGAAGGCUAGGAGAACGAAUCGGAUUAGAUACCCGAGUAGCCCUAGCAGUAAAUUAUGCAGACUGUGGUGUUGCGCCGACUUCGAGUCGGCGCAGUGCUGUAGCGUAGGUGUUAAGUCUGCCACCUGGGGAGUACGGCCGCAAGGUUGAAGCUUAAAGGAAUUGGCGGGGGAGCAC
RNAcentral lists this ribosomal RNA (415 nucleotides) under uncultured archaeon. Its description in RNAcentral is "bacterial SSU rRNA". It matches the Rfam family "Archaeal small subunit ribosomal RNA", at positions 466 to 879 of the family's 1478-position model. The record is from RNAcentral.